CGAUUUGUUCAACCAGCUUCUUCCCACCAUGCCCUGGAAUACUCUCAUGGUAAACCAUAAUAAUCCCCUGCAACUUCUCUUAGUUUGUGUUUUCCAUUUGAAUAAAAAGUAUUCAAACUCUUUUGCUUACCAACUCUUGAACCUUGUCAAAGUGACAAGCACCUAAUCCAUUGAGGACAAGAGAACAGACAGUAAAAUAUAAAAUAAAAAUCCAACUCCAUGUUUACAUCUUGAGGCAUUUACUUAUUUGGUGGUAAACAAUUGUUGUGGUUUUCGAUUUCGAUAAAACCAUUAUCGACCGUGACAGCGAUAACUGGGUUGUCGAUGAAUUGGGCUUUACCGAUUUGUUCAACCAGCUUCUUCCCACCAUGCCCUGGAAUACUCUCAUGGUAAACCAUAAUAAUCCCCUGCAACUUCUCUUAGUUUGUGUUUUCCAUUUGAAUAAAAAGUAUUCAAACUCUUUUGCUUACCAACUCUUGAACCUUGUCAAAGUGACAAGCACCUAAUCCAUUGAGGACAAGAGAACAGACAGUAAAAUAUAAAAUAAAAAUCCAACUCCAUGUUUACAUCUUGAGGCAUUUACUUAUUUGGUGGUAAACAAUUACAGGACACGAUGAUGAAGGAGAUGCAUGCACAAGGAACAACCAUUG
RNAcentral lists this long non-coding RNA (650 nucleotides) under Gossypium barbadense (sea-island cotton). RNAcentral describes it as "long non-coding RNA (GBAR_LNC003764)". The record is from RNAcentral. Lineage: Eukaryota; Viridiplantae; Streptophyta; Magnoliopsida; Malvales; Malvaceae.